RNAcentral lists this ribosomal RNA (253 nucleotides) under uncultured bacterium. RNAcentral describes it as "partial 16S ribosomal RNA". It matches the Rfam family "Bacterial small subunit ribosomal RNA", at positions 524 to 776 of the family's 1533-position model. The record is from RNAcentral.
UACGUAGGUGGCAAGCGUUGUUCGGAAUUACUGGGCGUAAAGCGCACGUAGGCGGAUUGUUAAGUCAGAGGUGAAAUCCCGGAGCUCAACUUCGGAACUGCCUUUGAUACUGGCAAUCUAGAGUCCGGAAGAGGUUAGUGGAAUUCCCAGUGUAGAGGUGAAAUUCGUAGAUAUUGGGAAGAACACCAGUGGCGAAGGCGGCUAACUGGUCCGGUACUGACGCUGAGGUGCGAAAGCGUGGGGAGCAAACAGG